GGUAUGAUCUGCCCUUGGUGAUGUCCUCUUGUUAUGUAAUAAAAUACUAUCUUGGAAAAUUUUUACUGGUCAUGUCAGUUCCGUGGCCAGACAGUCACUGGAGUUCUCCAAGGUAAUGUAUAUGCUUGCCAAAAGGCUUGGGAGAGCUGGUAAAUUUGGGAUCAUGGCUUAAUGAACUGCUGUGCUAAUUUGUGUGGUUCUGUCCUGUCUCUGACCCUCUCUGCCUGCAGCUCCUUUGGAUGCUGUGAAACACUUUUUGCAGCAGGGUCAGUGAAUGCCCCAACAGCUGAUGCAGUUACACAAAGCAGAUGGGUUCUGUCGAAGCACAUGUGAGACAGCUGCAUGCAGCUCAUGUAAAUGCAGAUGUCUGCAUGUGGUGGUCUUUGCAGGACAUCUCUGAAGUACCUUACUGAGAUGCUAAUGGUAACUCUGAUGUUGAAAUGUGGGCUCAAAAGAAACCUUAAUGAAUGGAAGAGUUAUUUUACAUGCUGUUGCUUUUGCCCAAACAGUACACUGUUUUACUGCAUAAUUCACCUCCUGUUCCACAAAUAUGUGUGGUCACACGAAACCUUUCUUUACUGGCAUUUUCCUUCUCACAGGAGAAGUCAUCUCGCUUGUCUGCAGCGUUGCUUGGUGAGGACUGUGAGAUCAGCCCAGAGCAGCUGUACGAGCUGCUACAGUAUGCAGCCCUGGGGAAACGCCACAAUGCAGCCCAGCCCAGCUGGUGCCAUGUUUAUCACCAAAGCCGUCUGGCUGGGGUUGUGGUUAUUGUUCUGCAUGAAAUGAGCCAGCUCCACUUCUACAAAUUCUAUUUACAGUUCAAACACCUCCGAAAAGUGUUCCAGCAUAGAUUCACGUUACCACCCCCUUCAGCUAACUUCCUAACCAGUCUGUGUGGCGAAGGAGCGAACCCGAAUCCUCAAGGCACUGCACAAGGCUUGAUUUCCACUGGUGUUGAAUGUGUCCCUGAAAGCUCAGGCUUGCAAUGUGAUCCCAUCAUCCGGAAAUAUGGCAGAGAAAAACGAGGCCUCACGAGCUAUACUCUAACUUUGGAAGAGCUGAAAAAGAACGAUUAUCCCAUGAGAGAUUCACCAGGAUGUAAGGGUUAUAUGUACACAGAGUGCGAUCUUCAGAGGACAGACAGCAGCCCCCUCUUCGGUCUGGAUUGUGAAAUGUGCCUGACUGCAAGAGGGAAUGAAGUCACUCGUGUCUCUUUGGUGGAUGCAGAGGGGCAGUGCCUUAUGAAUGAGCUAGUCAAACCAGAAAGUGUGAUAGUGAACUACUGCACCAGAUACUCGGGAGUCACAAGGAAAAUGCUUCUUCCAGUGAAAACAAGAUUGCCAGACAUACAAACCAGACUGAAAAAGAUACUUCCCCAUGAUGCAGUAUUGGUGGGUCAUUCUCUAAAUGCUGAUCUUCAGGCUUUGCAAAUGAUCCAUCCCAGUGUUAUUGAUACUUCAUUACUUUUUGCCAGAAAUGAAGGCCGAAGAUUUAAGCUAAAAUUUCUAGCCAAAGCUGUUUUAGGGAAGGAGAUCCAGUGCCAACAGAGGCUUGGUCACGAUCCUGCAGAAGAUGCUAGAGCUGCAUUGGAAUUGGCUCAGUUCUUUAUUAAGAAAGGACCAGCAAAGGUAGCAGAACUAAACUUGGAAAUGUUGCUGGCAGCUGAAAGGCAGACUGAAGUCUCACCAAACAAAUCUGUGAUGCAGCCACAGCAGUGUGGGGUCCAGAAGCAGCUGAAUGAUCCUCCACACUUAUCCAAAGCACGUUUUCUGGCCUGCUUGCAGGGGAUGGGCCAGAAGCCCCUCCUUUUGGGUAGACAGGAACUGGACUCUUCUGGCCUUUGUCGGAGUGACCUCAGCACUUCCAACAAACAGAUUCUUCAGAGAGCCUUGGAAGAUGUUCCCCUCUCCACAUUCAGUAUAAUUCAGUUCAGUUUGGAUCCAGAGUAUGUUGCAUCUCACCGUCUUGCUGGAUUUUGUGAAAAGGUGAGAAACAAGCUGACUGACAUGCUGACAAUUUACGCAGGUCCUUUUGAAGAAGACUUUUGCCUGAAGUCUGUGAAAAAAGAAUUUGGAAGGUGUGGGCCGAUCAGAUCCCUCACAGUGGUGACUGAAACGUACCAGCCAUAUGUCUGUAUCCAGUACAGCGUGCUGGAAGCUGCCCAGCUUGCUGUGGAAAGCCUAAAUGGAGCUGAGGUAGCAGGAUCGUGCAUUAAGGUUCAGAGACCCAUCACUGCUGCUACACUGGACUGUGAUGUUCUGAUAAGGGAACUGGAACUGGAUAUAGAAAACGAAGGUGUGAUUUAUGUGGCAGGAAUAAAGAAGUCAUUAACAGAGACAGAUUUGCAAGAAGAAUUCAGUCUGUUGAAAGACCUGGAAACUCUUUUCCUGCCAAAGGAUCUCCAGAGUGGAAAGCACAGCACCUGCUGUUUUCUCAAAUUCCAGAAAUCGCGAAGUGCGGCAGAUGCCCUGGAAGCUAUAAAUGGCUGGGCUGUGAGGGGCAGCACGCUCAGAAGUAGGCACGCUCUUGCUUCAGGUCACCUCUGGAGAUGGAUUUGGCAAAUGAAUCACAGCAGUGAAAAGCAAAGAGGAAACAGUUUAAGUGAGAAGAUGGCACCGCUGUCUGACUCUGAGCAGGAUGUAAAGAAAAAGGUGAAGAAGUUAGACCACCAUAUAAAAAAGCUUUAUAGAAGUCUGCAGGAUAACACCUUGUGCGUUGUUCUCUUUCCUGGAAUGAACAGAUCAUGGCUUUACACUUGGCCACAUCCUCGAAAAGAUAUCCAGCAUGAAACGGAAUUUACUGCAGCCUUUUCAAGCAUUACAACUCCGCAGCACUCGUGAUGGUGCCGGCUGGAGGAGGAAGUGUGGUUCUGCUCCACGACAAUACAUUCAUCAUUUCCUGCGGCGAGAAAACUGGAGAAAACUGGAGAAAACAGACGUCGUGUCUGCUGGGCGAUGUGGCCACGCCAGGGCUGAGCUCUACGACAAGUGUCUGUGCUGCAAGCUGCAGAUCUCCAGGCUGGCUGUCAGUGCUCCCUCCCCCUCCAUACAGCUGCAGCAACGUGGGCUCACUUUGUGCCCCAGGUCGGCUGGGAUGGAGCCCAGCAGUGCAGGGUGAGAACCUCAUCCUGCAGUCCAUCCAUCUCUCUUGCAACUCCAGAUAAUGGACAACUCGCAGCAUGAGGCCUUCCCACCACUCCCGGUGGCCCAUUUCCUUUCUGAGGGCCCAUUUCAACUUACUGAUAAGAAAGAAUGCAUAUUUUUAAGAUAACUAAACUUGACAAAAGAGCCACUCCCGAGGCACAGGGACAGCUCCAUCAGCAACAUUCAAGCGUGCUGCCCCAGCCACAGCCAACCCAAAGCCCAAGGAGAAUCUGCAAGCAAGAAGCAAGAGCACUGCAGACAAAUGUGUUUUUUCUUCAUGUAGAAUGCAUGUCAUCUAGAAAGAGAUUUUAUCUUCAGGAUGCAAUUAUGCAAAGAUAGAAGCUUUCUAAGAACAGAAAAGGAGAACCUCCCAGCAUCUCCAGCAUGCUUGAGCACUCUCAGCUCUGCUUUAAGCAUAAGGCGUUCAUCCUGAGCAGACACCGAGCGCAGGGAGGAAGCAGCAGCUGUGCAGCCCUUUCACAGCCUUCACUUUUUGUUGCACAGCUCAAGAUGGAACAAAGUACGGAACAUGUAAGAAAUACACUCAUAGCACUGCAUCAGGUGGGUUCCUGAUGCUUUUCAAGAGCAAAUGAAAGGGCCAGACGGUCCCUUCUUGGGGAGCAGCUGCUCCAUCUCCCAUUCAUUGUGGCCUGAAGUGGAAAGACAAGGUGCGAUGCUGAAAGGCCCUGAGCUAGUCGGGAGCAGCUCCACUCACCGCUGCGCUCUGGAACUCACAUGUCCCUUACCAGCUUGGCUUUGCUCCAUUCCAAAGGGUCGACUGCAUGCAGACCAAAAGCAGGAUACCAAAAAGUAUGGUAAAUAGGUAACACUUAACAUGGGUCAAUUAAAAAGUGUACAUUACUUAUCCAGGCAUCAUAGCCUGGGAGAGGAUGAUCAACUUGAACUACUCAAGUCUGACAAGAGGUAGAGAUACCUACGUACUUCAUGGUGAAGGAAUUAUGGCCUUCCUUCUUACAAUCUCAUGUAUUUCACUUUAACUGAAGAUAUAAACCAAAGAUACAAUCUUUGAUAAUCCAGAGAAAAAAAAUUAACACCAGUGUCUCUACACACAACAGAAAUAAGCACACUUAUCUUUUACUACUUGUUUGA
Lagopus leucura (white-tailed ptarmigan) is the source of this 4253-nucleotide RNA transcript. It is a transcript of the gene named RNA exonuclease 5, with no coding region annotated. Lineage: Eukaryota; Metazoa; Chordata; Aves; Galliformes; Phasianidae. The transcript is spliced from 19 exons. The record is from RefSeq and is a predicted model, not a curated record.